This 422-nucleotide ribosomal RNA is filed under the name uncultured bacterium. Its description in RNAcentral is "bacterial SSU rRNA". It matches the Rfam family "Bacterial small subunit ribosomal RNA", at positions 355 to 774 of the family's 1533-position model. The record is from RNAcentral.
UGAGGAAUAUUGGUCAAUGGGGGCAACCCUGAACCAGCCAAGUCGCGUGAAGGAUGAAGGUCUUAUGGAUUGUAAACUUCUUUUAUACAGGAAUAAAUUGGGGGACGUGUCCCCUUUUGCAUGUACUGUAUGAAUAAGGAUCGGCUAACUCCGUGACAGCAGCCGCGGUAAUACGGAGGAUCCGAGCGUUAUCCGGAUUUAUUGGGUUUAAAGGGUGCGCAGGCGGGAUGUUAAGUCGGCGGUGAAAUUUUGCAGCUCAACUGUAAAAGUGCCUUCGAUACUGGCCUCCUUGAGUGUGGAUGAAGUAGGCGGAAUUUGUGGUGUAGCGGUGAAAUGCUUAGAUAUCACGAGGAACUCCGAUUGCGCAGGCAGCUUACUAAACUACAACUGACGCUCAUGCACGAAGGCGUGGGGAUCAAACA